This 468-nucleotide ribosomal RNA is filed under the name uncultured bacterium. RNAcentral describes it as "partial 16S ribosomal RNA". It matches the Rfam family "Bacterial small subunit ribosomal RNA", at positions 28 to 507 of the family's 1533-position model. The record is from RNAcentral.
GACGAACGCUGGCGGCGUGCUUAACACAUGCAAGUCGAACGGAAAGGCCCUGCUUUUGUGGGGUGCUCGAGUGGCGAACGGGUGAGUAACACGUGAGUAACCUGCCCUUGACUUUGGGAUAACUUCAGGAAACUGGGGCUAAUACCGGAUAGGAGCUCCUGCUGCAUGGUGGGGGUUGGAAAGUUUCGGCGGUUGGGGAUGGACUCGCGGCUUAUCAGCUUGUUGGUGGGGUAGUGGCUUACCAAGGCUUUGACGGGUAGCCGGCCUGAGAGGGUGACCGGCCACAUUGGGACUGAGGUACGGCCCAGACGCCUACGGUAGGCAGCAGUGGGGAAUAUGGCACAAUGGGCGGAAGCCUGAUGCAGCAACGCCGCGUGCGGGAUGACGGCCUUCGGGUUGUAAACCGCUUUCGCCUGUGACGAAGCGUGAGUGACGGUAAUGGGUAAAGAAGCACCGGCUAACUACGUG